AGUGAACGCUGGCGGUAGGCCUAACACAUGCAAGUCGAACGGCAGCACAGUAAGAGCUUGCUCUUACGGGUGGCGAGUGGCGGACGGGUGAGGAAUACAUCGGAAUCUACUUUUUCGUGGGGGAUAACGUAGGGAAACUUACGCUAAUACCGCAUACGACCUACGGGUGAAAGCAGGGGAUCUUCGGACCUUGCGCGAUUGAAUGAGCCGAUGUCGGAUUAGCUAGUUGGCGGGGUAAAGGCCCACCAAGGCGACGAUCCGUAGCUGGUCUGAGAGGAUGAUCGGCCACACUGGAACUGAGACACGGUCCAGACUCCUAAGGGAGGCGGCAGUGGGGAAUAUUAGACAAUGGGCGCAAGCCUGAUACAGCCAUACCGCGUGGGUGAAGAAGGCCUUCGGGUUGUAAAGCCCUUUUGUUGGGAAAGAAAAGCAGCAGGUUAAUACCCCGCUGUUCUGACGGUACCCAAAGAAUAAGCACCGGCUAACUUCGUG
Molecule: ribosomal RNA, 492 nt
Filed under: uncultured bacterium
Lineage: Bacteria
Description: partial 16S ribosomal RNA
Rfam family: Bacterial small subunit ribosomal RNA
Source: RNAcentral